This 255-nucleotide ribosomal RNA is filed under the name uncultured bacterium. RNAcentral describes it as "partial 16S ribosomal RNA". It matches the Rfam family "Bacterial small subunit ribosomal RNA", at positions 524 to 776 of the family's 1533-position model. The record is from RNAcentral.
UACAGGGGGUGCAAACGUUGCUCGGAAUCAUUGGGCGUAAAGCGCACGUAGGCGGUUCGUUAUGUCGGAUGUGAAAGCCCUUGGCUUAACCGAGGAAGUGCAUCCGAAACUGGCGAGCUAGAGUACUAAAGAGGAUCGCGGAAUUCCCGGUGUAGAGGUGAAAUUCGUAGAUAUCGGGGAGGAACACCGGUGGCGAAGGCGGGUCUCUGGGCCGUAACUGACGCUGAGGAGCGAAAGCAUGGGGUAGCGAACAGG